This 200-nucleotide ribosomal RNA is filed under the name uncultured Alphaproteobacteria bacterium. RNAcentral's name for it is "partial 16S ribosomal RNA". It matches the Rfam family "Bacterial small subunit ribosomal RNA", at positions 29 to 253 of the family's 1533-position model. The record is from RNAcentral. Lineage: Bacteria; Pseudomonadati; Pseudomonadota; Alphaproteobacteria.
AACGAACGCUGGCGGCAGGCCUAACACAUGCAAGUCGAGCGCGCCCUUCGGGGUGAGCGGCGGACGGGUUAGUAACGCGUGGGAAUAUACCCUUUGGUACGGAAUAGCCUCUGGAAAACGGAGAGUAAUACCGUAUGAGCCCCUUCGGGGGAAAGAUUUAUCGCCAAAAGGAUUAGCCCGCGUUAGAUUAGGUAGUUGGU